GAUGAACGCUGGCGGCGUGCCUAAUACAUGCAAGUCGAGCGAACGGACGUGAAGCUUGCUUCUCUGAUGUUAGCGGCGGACGGGUGAGUAACACGUGGAUAACCUACCUAUAAGACUGGGAUAACUUCGGGAAACCGGAGCUAAUACCGGAUAAUAUUUUGAACCGCAUGGUUCAAAAGUGAAAGACGGUCUUGCUGUCACUUAUAGAUGGAUCCGCGCUGCAUUAGCUAGUUGGUAAGGUAACGGCUUACCAAGGCAACGAUGCAUAGCCGACCUGAGAGGGUGAUCGGCCACACUGGAACUGAGACACGGUCCAGACUCCUACGAGAGGCAGCAGUAGGGAAUCUUCCGCAAUGGGCGAAAGCUUGACGGAGCAACGCCGCGUGAGUGAUGAAGGUCUUCGGAUCGUAAAACUCUGUUAUUAGGGAAGAACAUAUGUGUAAGUAACUGUGCACAUCUUGACGGUACCUAAUCAGAAAGCCACGGCUAACUACGUG
RNAcentral lists this ribosomal RNA (497 nucleotides) under uncultured bacterium. Its description in RNAcentral is "partial 16S ribosomal RNA". It matches the Rfam family "Bacterial small subunit ribosomal RNA", at positions 28 to 507 of the family's 1533-position model. The record is from RNAcentral.